CCUACGGGUGGCUGCAGUGGGGAAUAUUGCACAAUGGGGGGAACCCUGAUGCAGCGACGCCGCGUGGGUGAAGAAGUAUUUCGGUAUGUAAAGCUCUGUCAGCAGGGAAGAAGGAGACGGUACCUGAUCAAGAAGCCCCGGCUAACUACGUGCCAGCAGCCGCGGUAAUACGUAGGGGGCAAGCGUUAUCCGGAUUUACUGGGUGUAAAGGGAGCGUAGACGGCAGCGCAAGUCUGAAGUGAAAUGCCAGGGCUUAACCACGGAACUGCUUUGGAAACUGUGCAGCUAGAGUGCAGGAGAGGUAAGUGGAAUUCCUAGUGUAGCGGUGAAAUGCGUAGAUAUUAGGAGGAACACCAGUGGCGAAGGCGGCUUACUGGACUGUAACUGACGUUGAGGCUCGAAAGCGUGGGGAGCAAACAGGAUUAGAUACCCCAGUAGUC
RNAcentral lists this ribosomal RNA (440 nucleotides) under uncultured bacterium. Its description in RNAcentral is "partial 16S ribosomal RNA". It matches the Rfam family "Bacterial small subunit ribosomal RNA", at positions 338 to 795 of the family's 1533-position model. The record is from RNAcentral.